AUUGAACGCUGGCGGCAUGCCUUACACAUGCAAGUCGAACGGCAGCACGGAGCUUGCUCUGGUGGCGAGUGGCGAACGGGUGAGUAAUAUAUCGGAACGUACCCUAGAGUGGGGGAUAACGUAGCGAAAGUUACGCUAAUACCGCAUACGAUCUAAGGAUGAAAGUGGGGGAUCGCAAGACCUCAUGCUCGUGGAGCGGCCGAUAUCUGAUUAGCUAGUUGGUAGGGUAAAAGCCUACCAAGGCAUCGAUCAGUAGCUGGUCUGAGAGGACGACCAGCCACACUGGAACUGAGACACGGUCCAGACUCCUACGGGAGGCAGCAGUGGGGAAUUUUGGACAAUGGGCGAAAGCCUGAUCCAGCAAUGCCGCGUGAGUGAAGAAGGCCUUCGGGUUGUAAAGCUCUUUUGUCAGGGAAGAAACGGUGAGAGCUAAUAUCUCUUGCUAAUGACGGUACCUGAAGAAUAAGCACCGGCUAACUACGUGCCAGCAGCCGCGGUAAUACGUAGGGUGCAAGCGUUAAUCGGAAUUACUGGGCGUAAAGCGUGCGCAGGCGGUUUUGUAAGUCUGAUGUGAAAUCCCCGGGCUCAACCUGGGAAUUGCAUUGGAGACUGCAAGGCUAGAAUCUGGCAGAGGGGGGUAGAAUUCCACGUGUAGCAGUGAAAUGCGUAGAUAUGUGGAGGAACACCGAUGGCGAAGGCAGCCCCCUGGGUCAAGAUUGACGCUCAUGCACGAAAGCGUGGGGAGCAAACAGGAUUAGAUACCCUGGUAGUCCACGCCCUAAACGAUGUCUACUAGUUGUCGGGUCUUAAUUGACUUGGUAACGCAGCUAACGCGUGAAGUAGACCGCCUGGGGAGUACGGUCGCAAGAUUAAAACUCAAAGGAAUUGACGGGGACCCGCACAAGCGGUGGAUGAUGUGGAUUAAUUCGAUGCAACGCGAAAAACCUUACCUACCCUUGACAUGGCUGGAAUCCUUGAGAGAUCAGGGAGUGCUCGAAAGAGAACCAGUACACAGGUGCUGCAUGGCUGUCGUCAGCUCGUGUCGUGAGAUGUUGGGUUAAGUCCCGCAACGAGCGCAACCCUUGUCAUUAGUUGCUACGAAAGGGCACUCUAAUGAGACUGCCGGUGACAAACCGGAGGAAGGUGGGGAUGACGUCAAGUCCUCAUGGCCCUUAUGGGUAGGGCUUCACACGUCAUACAAUGGUACAUACAGAGCGCCGCCAACCCGCGAGGGGGAGCUAAUCGCAGAAAGUGUAUCGUAGUCCGGAUUGUAGUCUGCAACUCGACUGCAUGAAGUUGGAAUCGCUAGUAAUCGCGGAUCAGCAUGUCGCGGUGAAUAAGAUCCCGGGUCU
This 1352-nucleotide ribosomal RNA is filed under the name uncultured bacterium. Its description in RNAcentral is "bacterial SSU rRNA". It matches the Rfam family "Bacterial small subunit ribosomal RNA", at positions 28 to 1381 of the family's 1533-position model. The record is from RNAcentral.